RNAcentral lists this ribosomal RNA (440 nucleotides) under uncultured bacterium. RNAcentral's name for it is "partial 16S ribosomal RNA". It matches the Rfam family "Bacterial small subunit ribosomal RNA", at positions 338 to 795 of the family's 1533-position model. The record is from RNAcentral.
CCUACGGGAGGCAGCAGUGAGGGAUAUUGCACAAUGGGGGGAACCCUGAUGCAGCGACGCCGCGUGGGUGAAGAAGCGCCUCGGCGCGUAAAGCCCUGUCAGCAGGGAAGAAAAUGACGGUACCUGAAGAAGAAGCCCCGGCUAACUACGUGCCAGCAGCCGCGGUAAUACGUAGGGGGCAAGCGUUAUCCGGAUUUACUGGGUGGAAAGGGGGCGCAGACGGCGAUGCAAGCCAGGAGUGAAAGCCCGGGGCCCAACCCCGGGACUGCUCUUGGAACUGCGUGGCUGGAGUGCAGGAGGGGCAGGCGGAAUUCCUGGUGUAGCGGUGAAAUGCGUAGAUAUCAGGAGGAACACCGGUGGCGAAGGCGGCCUGCUGGACUGCAACUGACGUUGAGGCCCGAAAGCGUGGGGAGCAAACAGGAUUAGAUACCCUAGUAGUC